UCUUGACUCAGGUUCCAACCUUUACCCAGA
This 30-nucleotide non-coding RNA is filed under the name Rattus norvegicus (Norway rat). The record is from RNAcentral. Lineage: Eukaryota; Metazoa; Chordata; Mammalia; Rodentia; Muridae.